CUUAGCGCUAUGUGAGCCAUGUGCUGUUACCAUCCAGCAAGCAGCUCCCAUCCGGUCUCCUUCUUGCAUGAACGGUCAUUUUCUUCCAAAAUAUUCCAAUGACCCAAGACACCGUGCUGAUUAACCCCUUCCUGAAGGGUUUGGAUCCCAACAGUCUCCAUUAUUGUGCCUAGAUGGACUACUCAGUAACAGAUAAUGUUUUAUUAUUCUUAUUUUUCAGAUGCUUUCUUCUCAGAAAGGGCUUUUUUUUUUUUUUUUUUUUUUUUUUUUUGAGAUCAACCAAAGGCUGGAAAAAAGAUCUGGGGAAGGGAAAUGAUGGGAUACCAUUAUUAAUUUGGAGGGGGGGGAAGACAUAUAAAAUUCAUUCAUCACUCCCAGCGCUCUCUAAAGAGAGCUAUCAUGGCUUGCCCACAGGCCUAAUAAUCUCCAUCAUUUUGAAAGGGAAACAUCCCGCAAGGAGAAGAGUCAGGGAAGCUGGAGGUAUUGAACAAGCUGAUCUAUAAAGAUAAUUUGUUCCAUGUUUCUGCACUUUUGACUUGCUCAAUAGUUUGACUCAUGAGAGCAGAAUAAUGCCAAGGUGUUAUGGACUGGAAGUACAGCUCCCUGCAGAUAGGGUCUUGGCUGGGGCUUGAGCAAUUACCUAAGAGGAGCAGCCUGCACCUGAAGACAAAGCUUCCCGUGGAAUCAUGCUCCAAUGAUCAGCUCCAUCUGAGGCGCUCCCUCCCCGUGGCCUCACCUCAGCGGGUAGCACACAAGACCACGUGCAUGCACACAAACUGCAGAGAGGAAGAAGAACAGGGUGAGAAAUGCCUCUUUGCAGUCCUCUCCGUCUGCUCCCCUCUCCACUCCACACACCCAGCCAGUGGGUUUCUCAUGGAGAAGUUGAAUGUGAAGGCUGGGGGCAGGACAGGACAGGAAAGAAGAGGAAAGGCAAUCCCAGUUUCAGGCAGCGAUGUCACAGGUGGAGCCCUGUCUCAUGCACAAUCAGGCACAUGACUGUGCCGAUGUACCAAUUAUCCUUUAUAAAUAGCUGCCAGCAGAUGUUCAGCCGGCAAAUGUCUGUGUCAGUUGAAGCCAUUACAGCUCACAGAUGCUUGGCGAAGCCCUCCAGCCAAAGAUUACCUCUCCUGCAGCUCUACUGGCAGUCAGCUCUGCUUCAGGCAAAAGUCAGCUGGAUUAGCUCAUACCACCUGGAUCAGCUGCUCAAGCAGUGCUGGCUAACUGCUGCAGCAGGGAACCUUUCUAUUCAGGCAAUCUCCAAAAGGGGGGAGAGCAAGAACUGCAGUCCAGUGAAGCCUUCUGAUUUUAGCCAUUGGAAAAGAAACAAAGCAAUCAGCAA
This 1339-nucleotide long non-coding RNA is filed under the name Anser brachyrhynchus (Pink-footed goose). RNAcentral describes it as "lncRNA (ENSABRG00000012611.1)". The record is from RNAcentral. Lineage: Eukaryota; Metazoa; Chordata; Aves; Anseriformes; Anatidae.